GACGAACGCUGGCGGCGUGCUUAACACAUGCAAGUCGAACGGAAGGACCCGGCGUUUGUGUGUUUCUCGAGUGGGGAACGGGUGAGUAACACGUGAGUAAACUGCCCUUGACUUUGUGAUAACUUCAGGAGACUGGGGCUAAUACCGGAUAGGAGCUCCUGCUGCAUGUUGGGCAUUGGAGAGUGUCGGCGGUUGGGGAUGGACUCGCGGCUUAUCAGCUGCUUGGUGGGGUAGUUGCUGACCAAGCCUUUGAAGGGUAGGCGGCCUGAGAGGGUGAGCGGCGACCUUGGGACUGAGGUACGGUACAGACUGCGAAGGGAGGGAGCAGUGGGGAAUAUUGCCCUAUGGGCGGAAGCCUGAUGAAGCAACGCCGCGUGCGGGAUGACGGUCUUCGGGUUGUAAACCGCAUUCGCCUGUGACGAAGCGUGAGUGACGGUAAUGGGUACAGAAGCCCCGGCUAACUACGUG
Molecule: ribosomal RNA, 468 nt
Filed under: uncultured bacterium
Lineage: Bacteria
Description: partial 16S ribosomal RNA
Rfam family: Bacterial small subunit ribosomal RNA
Source: RNAcentral